AAUCAACGCUGGCGGCGUGCCUCAGACAUGCAAGUCGAACGAUUAAAGCCCCUUCGGGGGUGUAUAGAGUGGCGCACGGGUGAGUAACACGUAGGUAAUCUACCUUUGAGUGGGGAAUAACUUAGGGAAACUUAAGCUAAUACCGCAUAAUGCAGCGGCAUCGCAAGAUGACAGUUGUUAAAGGAGCAAUCCGCUUAAAGAGGAGCCUGCGGCAGAUUAGCUAGNGGUAAGGUAAUGGCUUACCAAGGCAACGAUCUGUAGCCGGUCUAAGAGGACGGUCGGUCACACUGACACUGAAUAACGGGUCAGACUCCUACGGGAGGCAGCAGUCGGGAAUUUUGGGCAAUGGGCGAAAGCCUGACCCAGCAACGCCGCGUGAAGGAUGAAGUCUCUCGGGAU
This 399-nucleotide ribosomal RNA is filed under the name uncultured bacterium. Its description in RNAcentral is "bacterial SSU rRNA". It matches the Rfam family "Bacterial small subunit ribosomal RNA", at positions 32 to 424 of the family's 1533-position model. The record is from RNAcentral.